RNAcentral lists this long non-coding RNA (543 nucleotides) under Phaseolus vulgaris (common bean). RNAcentral describes it as "long non-coding RNA (PVUL_LNC002802)". Lineage: Eukaryota; Viridiplantae; Streptophyta; Magnoliopsida; Fabales; Fabaceae. The record is from RNAcentral.
GAGCAGAGAUAGAGUCCAUUGAUGUGAUAAGAGAUAAUGAUAAACUUUUUUUUAUUGAAUAACGAUACUAUAAAAUCAUUAAUUAGAAAUCAAUUUUGAAAAUAAAAAAUUAUUAGUUUUUAUAUUGAUUAAAUCGGAUACUAUUUUAGAAACUAAAAAAAUUAUUAAUUUUUAAAUUAGUUUUUAUUAUUGAUAAAUAGUUUUUAAAUUGGUAUUUAAUUAGUUACUGAUUUAGAAAUUAUUUAUCAAUAAUAAAAAUUAAUUUAAAUACCAAAAAUUUUCUUAGUUUCUAAAAUAAUAUAUAAUUUUGUAAAUAUAAUGACUAAUUAUUUUUAGUGUCUAAUAUUGAUUUCUAUUUAAUGAUUUUCUUCUAGUGUAAGCUGAGAUGCAAAGAUGUCAAGUGUAAAUAAAUGAUCUUGCACAACACCUUGUUUACAUUUUUCUUUGUUUAUUUUGUCUUGGUCCUCUAGCCAUAAAAAGAUGGCUUGCUUGGAGAAUUUUUUCAGAAGGAAUUUCGUUUAUAAGUCAUAGUUUUUUACNNNN